This 434-nucleotide ribosomal RNA is filed under the name uncultured Lachnospiraceae bacterium. RNAcentral's name for it is "partial 16S ribosomal RNA". It matches the Rfam family "Bacterial small subunit ribosomal RNA", at positions 341 to 792 of the family's 1533-position model. The record is from RNAcentral. Lineage: Bacteria; Bacillati; Bacillota; Clostridia; Lachnospirales; Lachnospiraceae.
ACGGGAGGCAGCAGUGGGGAAUAUUGGACAAUGGGGGAAACCCCGAUCCAGCGACGCCGCGUGAGUGAAGAAGUAUUUCGGUAUGUAAAGCUCUAUCAGCAAGGAAGAAAAUGACGGUACUUGACUAAGAAGCCCCGGCUAACUACGUGCCAGCAGCCGCGGUAAUACGUAGGGGGCAAGCGUUAUCCGGAUUUACUGGGUGUAAAGGGAGCGUAGACGGUAUGGCAAGUCUGAAGUGAAAUGCAUGGGCUCAACCCAUGAACUGCUUUGGAAACUGUCAAACUAGAGUGCAGGAGAGGUAAGUGGAAUUCCUAGUGUAGCGGUGAAAUGCGUAGAUAUUAGGAGGAACACCAGUGGCGAAGGCGGCUUACUGGACUGUAACUGACGUUGAGGCUCGAAAGCGUGGGGAGCAAACAGGAUUAGAUACCCUGGUA